This 489-nucleotide ribosomal RNA is filed under the name uncultured bacterium. RNAcentral's name for it is "partial 16S ribosomal RNA". It matches the Rfam family "Bacterial small subunit ribosomal RNA", at positions 28 to 507 of the family's 1533-position model. The record is from RNAcentral.
GAUGAACGCUAGCGGCAGGCUUAAUACAUGCAAGUCGUGGGGCAGCAGGACUGUAGCAAUACAGUUGCUGGCGACCGGCAAACGGGUGCGGAACACGUACGCAACUUACCCUGAACUGGGGGAUAGCCCGGGGAAACCCGGAUUAAUACCCCGUAAUAUAAUGGAGUGGCAUCACUUUAUUAUUAAAGCUCCGGCGGUUCGGGAUGGGCGUGCGGCUGAUUAGGUAGUUGGUUGAGGUAACGGCUCACCAAGCCUACGAUCAGUAACUGGUGUGAGAGCAGGACCAGUGGCACGGGCACUGAGACACGAGCCCGACUCCUGCGGGAAGCAGGAGUAAGGAAUAUUGGGAAGUGGAGGCAACUCUGACCCAGCCAGGCCGCGUGGAGGAUGAAGGCCCUCUGGGUUGUAAACUGCUUUUAUAGGGGACGAAACCUGUGUAUUCUUACGCAGUUGACGGUACCCUAGGAAUAAGCACCGGCUAACUCCGUG